RNAcentral lists this non-coding RNA (148 nucleotides) under Homo sapiens (human). Lineage: Eukaryota; Metazoa; Chordata; Mammalia; Primates; Hominidae. The record is from Rfam by way of RNAcentral.
GCUGGGCGUGGUGGCGGGCGCCUGUAAUCCCAGCUACUCAGGAGGCUGAGGUAGGAGAAUUGCUUGACCCCAGGAGGCGGAGGUUGCAGUGAGCUGAGAUCACGCCACUGCACUUCAGCCUGGGCGACAGAGCAAGACUCUGUCUCAA